RNAcentral lists this ribosomal RNA (292 nucleotides) under uncultured bacterium. Its description in RNAcentral is "partial 16S ribosomal RNA". It matches the Rfam family "Bacterial small subunit ribosomal RNA", at positions 505 to 796 of the family's 1533-position model. The record is from RNAcentral.
GUGUCAGCCGCCGCGGUAAUACAGAGGGGGCAAGCGUUAUUCGGAAUUAUUGGGCGUAAAGGGCGCGUAGGCGGCCCUUCAAGUGGUAGGUGAAAUCCCUCGGCUCAACCGAGGAGCUGCCCGCCAAACUGAAGAGCUUGAGUCCGGGAGAGGUGAGUGGAAUUCCCAGUGUAGCGGUGAAAUGCGUAGAUAUUGGGAGGAACACCAGUGGCGAAGGCGGCUCACUGGACCGGAACUGACGCUGAGGCGCGAAAGCGUGGGGAGCAAACGGGAUUAGAUACCCUCGUAGUCC